Molecule: long non-coding RNA, 315 nt
Organism: Nerophis ophidion (straightnose pipefish)
Lineage: Eukaryota; Metazoa; Chordata; Actinopteri; Syngnathiformes; Syngnathidae
Exons: 3
Source: RefSeq, a predicted model, not a curated record
CUCCAAACAUUUGGAGUGAAUUGGCGCAACUUCUCUACUCCCGCGUGAAGCAAUGUUUUGUUUUGAAGAUUGCUGCGUGACUACAGCUUUAUUUACACAUAUAACCUAUAUCUCCAGAUUGUUGCUCCGAAAAUAACCCCACGCACAGGAAGCAACGAUGCACAACGCAAACCACCGCUGCAAUGGAGAUAAGAGAGCAAAUGAGAGAGAGGACCCAAGGGCGUUCCAGGUGCUCAAGGUCUGAGUGGACGCAAAGGAGAGAGAGGACCCAAGGGCGUUCCAGGUGCUCAAGGUCUGAGUGGACGCAAAGGAGAG